Molecule: transfer RNA, 108 nt
Filed under: Lentinula aciculospora
Lineage: Eukaryota; Fungi; Basidiomycota; Agaricomycetes; Agaricales; Omphalotaceae
Rfam family: tRNA
About the family: Transfer RNA (tRNA) molecules are approximately 80 nucleotides in length. Their secondary structure includes four short double-helical elements and three loops (D, anti-codon, and T loops). Further hydrogen bonds mediate the characteristic L-shaped molecular structure. tRNAs have two regions of fundamental functional importance: the anti-codon, which is responsible for specific mRNA codon recognition, and the 3' end, to which the tRNAs corresponding amino acid is attached (by aminoacyl-tRNA synthetases). tRNAs cope with the degeneracy of the genetic code in two manners: having more than one tRNA (with a specific anti-codon) for a particular amino acid; and 'wobble' base-pairing, i.e. permitting non-standard base-pairing at the 3rd anti-codon position.
Source: Rfam by way of RNAcentral
GGCGCUAUAGCCAAGUGGUUACGGCGACAGAUUAGAAAAACACAAUAACAAACAUGAAAUCCUAUCUGUUCCUCUUUGAGGGCGCAGGUUCAAAUCCUGCUGGCGUCG